UCAUUAAUAAAAUCCAUAGUUAAUGUGACAAACAAUCAUAUGUAUUUCUAUGAGAUGCCAAUAAAAUUCCAUCUCAUAUUCACAUAAUGAAAAUGAGCUUAAAACGUGAUUUACAUGUACAAUGUUCUAAUCUAGCAGAAGUCAGAAUGAAUAUUUCAUUUGGUUGUGAUGCUAAGACUGGGAAAACUUCAACAUGACCGGCAUUUGCUUAGCAUCAAUCACCAUUGUCAUCCAAAUCAACCUGCACAGGAAAUAAUAUAAAUCAUUGUAAUUAUUAAUUACAGAUUUACACUAGAACAUAAGAGGGGGAAAAACAUCCAAAAUUUGUGAACCUUCAAAGUGAACAUUAUUGCCAAGAACUAAUAUAGAAACAAGGAUUGAGAUAUCAAUGCAUGCUCAUGAACUGAUUAUUAGAUCAUUAUUUAAGCUUAUAUGCAUCUAAGACCAUGAUAUAAUAAUAUAAUAUGUAUAUACCCACAUAUUAUAAACUAUAAGAGAAAUCAUAUCAUGAUUACCUCAGGGUUGUUGUUCAAAGCAACAGCUAGUGCCAAGUUUAGUCAACCAAGAAGACCCUGGAAAUUAUGAACAAAGAAAAGGAGAGAUGUAAACAUGAUUCUUCGAUCCUCAUAUGAAUAGUUUUGAUCUCAUAGAGUAUGAUUGAUACAUUUUAGAAACUUCAAGAAGAGAGAAUCACAAUAUAACUAAAAUUUCCAUAUUAUAUUUAACUUUUAAUAUAAGGAUAAGAAAGAAACACCAUAUAUACUUUACAGGUAUAAAUGCUAAAAACAAAUCAUGUAUUUAAAUUUUGAAUCUUACUCGAAAGAUUGGUUUUACGAAAAGAUGGCGGAAACGGUUAUACGAGAUCUCAAACUAGAAUCUGCAGGGUCAUAUCUCUCUCUGUCUUUACCUAACAAUCAUUACAAACAUGUAACAGGUCAUAUUUUUAAUUCCAUAGUAAACCAACAAACAUUGCAAUGCCCAUUCUGCCAAAGUCAUUAUUCCAAGAAGAUUUUGGCAAAAAAAAUUACAAAAAAAUUUGCAACCAAAUUAUGAUUAUCAUAUAGAUGUAGCUGAAAAGUAAAGGAUAUUGCCUUACCUGCCACACUAUUAAUGAUUCCCUUGAACAAGACUUGACAAUGGUAAAAAGAUAAGUCUAGUAAAAAUGGAUAUGUCAAAUUCAAAGGUCAGGGUAUGUCAAAGCCACAAAUAAGGAGCAUGGAUUGACAAGACAAAAAAGUAAGGGGAUCUUGUGUAGAGUCAUAUUUCAUAAAACAAUAGGAACCUGUAACGAAUCACUCCUUAUAUGACGGGAUAACAAAAAUUUCAUCCAAAGGAUGCCCAACAUCAAUGUCCUGCAGUGCAAACCAUAGUAAUCUCCAUGUACAAAUUACAUAAUCAAAAUACAAUUCAAUGUAGCAAAAGCAAAGUGAAAAAAAUAAAUCAAUGUGAAUGAGCUAAUGGACUCAAAUAAUUUUAUAAGAUUAUAAUUCAAGCCUCAAUAUUUCUACUGUAAACUAUACAAAAUGCUACAAAGCAGCUAUAAAUUGAAAACCAUAUAACAUAUCAACAAACACAUACGGAAUUCAACACAUAGAGUCACUC
RNAcentral lists this long non-coding RNA (1602 nucleotides) under Erythranthe guttata (spotted monkey flower). Its description in RNAcentral is "long non-coding RNA (EGUT_LNC000456)". Lineage: Eukaryota; Viridiplantae; Streptophyta; Magnoliopsida; Lamiales; Phrymaceae. The record is from RNAcentral.